Molecule: long non-coding RNA, 292 nt
Filed under: Gossypium raimondii (Peruvian cotton)
Lineage: Eukaryota; Viridiplantae; Streptophyta; Magnoliopsida; Malvales; Malvaceae
Description: long non-coding RNA (GRAI_LNC005483)
Source: RNAcentral
UGGAUCCUACGUGAUGACCCGAAAAACGCUUCACUCUUUUUUCAAUGGAUUAAGCUAUCAGGAAUUUCCAAUUUUGUGAAUAUAUUGAAGAGAAAAAGAGAGAGUUUUGGUGUGCGGCGCAGAUAGGGUUGGGAGGAAAUGGGGAAGGGAAAUUAGACGCCGAGACGAGAAGAAACGAUGACGACAGAAUAAUCAACGGAAGCAGUGGGAAAUGGGAGGAGAAAAUGAUUAGGACGGAAGAGGAGAGGGUCGGGUAGGGAGGGAGGGUAAAACAGAGAGAUGGGGAGGGAGG